UCGCUGUCCAAAAAUAAAACUGCUGGAUGAAAGUCUGGUUACGUGUUCAUUAAGAGAAGAGUGAAUAUUUUUAUACUCUGCCUUUUUCAUUCGGAUCAGCUACUAAAACUGCAAUGUCAGAAUAACCCGUGUGUCUUCGUUCUGCCUGAUAACGUGAGACUGACAGCACAUUGAGAGAAUAAGCUUUUAACACUGUCUUGUACGACUGACAUCAAACGUCACACUGGAAUCCGGCAUCCAUGCGCGCUUCUUGCGCAGCAAUUACAAACACCAUGCUUUCUACAUGUGAUCAGCGGCCAAGCAGCGAAGAAGAACUCCGCCUCUGGAAGCCGUACACGUGGACUUUGACAUGGUCCUGGUAGUAAAGAGCCAGACUGCUGAUAGAUCAGUAAUGGAAGAGUCAUCAUAACAUUGGACUGUUGGAGGUUUUGCAAUGGCAACAACAUGUGAAAUGGCAUGUCCAAUCAGGAUCAGAGACUUCAGUAUAA
Molecule: long non-coding RNA, 488 nt
Organism: Sphaeramia orbicularis (orbiculate cardinalfish)
Lineage: Eukaryota; Metazoa; Chordata; Actinopteri; Kurtiformes; Apogonidae
Exons: 2
Source: RefSeq, a predicted model, not a curated record